CCGCCUUCGACGGAGGAAAAAUGAGCCAAUCGAACCCUGCAAGGCUGCAACGUUCUCACUCCACCAGCAUACCGUCUUGAAAACUAGGUCAACCGUUCGCACAAAUUUUUAGUUCAGCUAUUGACUUUAUAUGCUGCCUCUGCCAGCUUUAUUUAUCAGUUCUGCAACCGCUGACAAACUCUAAAACCCUCCCGCCUAAUUCUUAAACCUCAGUUUUUCUGCGUAAAUUAGCAAACAUUAGAAAAAAUGACGAGGAUAGCGUAAGCUCCGAUUCAAUUCACAAAACAGCCCUACAUUGAAGAUGUCGGCCCUCGCAAAAUAGAAAGUAUUCAGUUUUCUACAUUCGGAGAAUCCGAGAUUCUGAAAGCAGCUGAAAUACAAGUAUACCGCGGUGUAUAUUAUGAUUCUGCGAAAAGGCCUUGGGAGAAUGGCUUAUUAGACCCUCAUAUGGUGCUGUUUGGUCCAGGGCCCCGCAAACAAGAAUGGAAUUUGUGAAGCAUGCCAUGGGAACUUUAGGGAAUGUCCAGGGCACUACGGAUAUUUGACUCUUGCUCUACCA
Molecule: long non-coding RNA, 559 nt
Organism: Coffea arabica (coffee)
Lineage: Eukaryota; Viridiplantae; Streptophyta; Magnoliopsida; Gentianales; Rubiaceae
Source: RefSeq, a predicted model, not a curated record